This is a non-coding RNA of Podospora fimiseda, 201 nucleotides long. NCBI's taxonomy places the organism in Eukaryota, Fungi, Ascomycota, Sordariomycetes, Sordariales, Podosporaceae. The record is from the annotation of a GenBank genome assembly.
CCUCUAGUGGUGUAGUGGUCAGCACGAGAAAAGUUACGGAUAGGUAUUCAUACAACACCGAAGCUCAACGUUUGAUUCCCACUUGGGAGGAGACGGUUUUUCGAAUGAAAAAUUUGCCGGAUGGUCUUUCAACUAGACCGAGUGUUGUUCCUUAUCUAUCUCGUUCUUUUCUAGGGUCUGGUUCAAGUCCAGGCUAGGGGU